CUCUGGAUAGCUCAGUCGGCAGAGCACAAGACUGUUAAUCUCAGGGUUGUGGUUUUAAGCCCCACAUUGGGGA
Molecule: non-coding RNA, 73 nt
Organism: Podarcis lilfordi (Lilford's wall lizard)
Lineage: Eukaryota; Metazoa; Chordata; Lepidosauria; Squamata; Lacertidae
Source: the annotation of a GenBank genome assembly